Non-coding RNA from Salvelinus sp. IW2-2015, 210 nucleotides. The record is from RefSeq and is a predicted model, not a curated record. Lineage: Eukaryota; Metazoa; Chordata; Actinopteri; Salmoniformes; Salmonidae.
CGCUCAUGRGUUUCUAGAGUUAUCGUACAGUCUCGCGAUAUCUGACACCUUCAAACUUCCCCAUGAACCUUUGCGUGUUCUCUUUCUAGCCGGCGCCUGAGAAUGGGUAUCUCUAGGGACAACUGGCAUAAACGCCGCAAGACCGGCGGCAAACGCAAACCCUACCACAAGAAGAGGAAGUAUGAACUGGGUCGUCCCCCUGCAAACACC